RNAcentral lists this ribosomal RNA (625 nucleotides) under uncultured Frankia sp. Its description in RNAcentral is "partial 16S ribosomal RNA". Lineage: Bacteria; Bacillati; Actinomycetota; Actinomycetes; Frankiales; Frankiaceae. The record is from RNAcentral.
UCCCGAGGCAUAUCGCAGCCUCCCACGUCCUUCAUCGGCUCCUGGUGCCAAGACAUCCACCGUGCGCCCUUAAUAACUUGGCCACAAAGAUAAAGAUGCUCGCGUCCACUGUGCAGUUCUCAAACUACGAACGGAAACCAGCCGCACCUGCGGGACCCACCACCAUAAAAGACAGCGGUAUCCCACGACGAACCAGCCCGCAAACCUGCCUCCCACCAGCCCCAACGGGCCAGCAGAAGGCAGGAUCGUACACGAGGGCAACUCACUCCCUCACAACCCAACAGCGUACCGAUCCACCCAGACAACCCACCACCCAGAGAACACACAGGAACCCCGGACAACAGACCAGACCAGACAGAAACAUAGUCAGCGUUCCACACCCAUGAGCACCCAGACCAACCAUCCAGCUGGUCUUCGCUCUGGACCAGACACCCUCCACUACAGAAGGCACCCAGCCAGAAAGCUCCUUAGAAAGGAGGUGAUCCAGCCGCACCUUCCGGUACGGCUACCUUGUUACGACUUCGUCCCAAUCGCCGGUCCCACCUUCGACGGCUCCCCCCACAAGGGUUGGGCCACCGGCUUCGGGUGUUACCGACUUUCGUGACGUGACGGGCGGUGUGAAAAG